GAUCCUGGCUCAGGAUGAACGCUAGCUACAGGCUUAACACAUGCAAGUCGAGGGGCAGCAUGGUCUUAGCUUGCUAAGGCCGAUGGCGACCGGCGCACGGGUGAGUAACACGUAUCCAACCUGCCGUCUACUCUUGGACAGCCUUCUGAAAGGAAGAUUAAUACAAGAUGGCAUCAUGAGUCCGCAUGUUCACAUGAUUAAAGGUAUUCCGGUAGGCAUGGGGA
Molecule: ribosomal RNA, 224 nt
Filed under: uncultured bacterium
Lineage: Bacteria
Description: partial 16S ribosomal RNA
Rfam family: Bacterial small subunit ribosomal RNA
Source: RNAcentral